CUUCAUGGAGACAUCUCCAGGUCACCACCAAGGUGGGGACAACCCAGCUCAGGGGGGGGUUUGGAGGUCACGGAGGAACGGGGAGAGGUCACAGGAGAUCUGAAGUUCUCAGGUUGAGGUCCCACCACCCACAAUGAGGUCCCACCACCCAAACCUGAAGUUCUUCCACCAAAUUUGAGGUCCCACCACCCAAACCAAGGUCCCACCACCUCCAAUGAGGUCCCACCACCAGAACUUGAGGUCCCACCACCCAAACUUGAGGUCCCACCACCCAAACCAAGGUCCCACCACCGACAAUGAGGUUCCACCAUCCCCAAUGAGGUCCCACGACCCCCAAUGAGAUCCCACCACCCAAACUUGAAGUUCCUCCACCAAAAUGAGGUCCCACCACCCAAACCUGAAGUUCUUCCACCAAAUCUGAGGUCUCACCACCCAAACUUGAGGUUCCUCCACCAAAUCUGAGGUCCCACCACCCCCAAUGAGGUCCCACCACCCAAACCUGAGGUUCCUCCACCAAAUCUGAGGUCCCACCACCUCCAAUGAGGUCCCACCACCCAAACCAAGGUCCCACCAUCCACAAUGAGGUCCCACCACCCAAACCUGA
This is a long non-coding RNA of Poecile atricapillus (Black-capped chickadee), 604 nucleotides long. RefSeq lists it as uncharacterized. The transcript has 3 exons. The record is from RefSeq and is a predicted model, not a curated record. Lineage: Eukaryota; Metazoa; Chordata; Aves; Passeriformes; Paridae.